GACGAACCGAGCGAACGUUGUUCGGAAUCACUGGGCUUAAAGGGCGCGUAGGCGGUCUGUCGCGUCUGCUGUGAAAACUCGGGGCUUAACCCCGGGCCUGCAGUGGGUACGGGCAGACUAGAGUGCGGUAGGGGAGACUGGAAUUCCUGGUGUAGCGGUGAAAUGCGCAGAUAUCAGGAGGAACACCGGUGGCGAAGGCGGGUCUCUGGGCCGUAACUGACGCUGAGGAGCGAAAGCGUGGGGAGCGAACAGG
RNAcentral lists this ribosomal RNA (253 nucleotides) under uncultured bacterium. RNAcentral describes it as "partial 16S ribosomal RNA". It matches the Rfam family "Bacterial small subunit ribosomal RNA", at positions 524 to 776 of the family's 1533-position model. The record is from RNAcentral.